CUAUUUGGGCCUCACAUCUCCAUAAUCGAUGGUUGGUGGAGAAAAUCGGAGAUGCAAUCCGUAGCCCUUGCAAGGAAUCAUCAACUGGAUGUGCUCCACCCAUUGCUGUGCCUCCUCCUGAGGUAGGAUUGGGAUCCAAGGUCGAGGAUGAUGAAUCUCCCAUUCCCACCAUGGAUGCUGAUAUAGAGGUCAUCUUCUUUGUUUCCGGUAUCACUCUAAUACCAAGUGACACAUAUGAAAGGAUCCCAGAGCUAAUCCCAACAAACGUGAG
RNAcentral lists this long non-coding RNA (271 nucleotides) under Elaeis guineensis (African oil palm). RNAcentral describes it as "long non-coding RNA (EGUI_LNC054109)". Lineage: Eukaryota; Viridiplantae; Streptophyta; Magnoliopsida; Arecales; Arecaceae. The record is from RNAcentral.